GUAAAGGUGCCAGAAUUAAUGGGAUUAAUUUAGGAUUAAUUUAUGAUUUUUAUCUCUUUAUG
RNAcentral lists this transfer RNA (62 nucleotides) under Hydatigera sp. HCFr. RNAcentral's name for it is "tRNA-Leu". The record is from RNAcentral. Lineage: Eukaryota; Metazoa; Platyhelminthes; Cestoda; Cyclophyllidea; Taeniidae.